Molecule: ribosomal RNA, 431 nt
Filed under: uncultured bacterium
Lineage: Bacteria
Description: partial 16S ribosomal RNA
Rfam family: Bacterial small subunit ribosomal RNA
Source: RNAcentral
AGCGAACGCUGGCGGCAGGCCUAACACAUGCAAGUCGAGCGCCCUUUCGGGGGAGCGGCGGACGGGUGAGUAACGCGUGGGAAUAUGCCCUUCUCUACGGAAUAGCCUCGGGAAACUGAGAGUAAUACCGUAUACGCCCUGUGGGGGAAAGAUUUAUCGGGGAAGGAUUAGCCCGCGUUGGAUUAGGUAGUUGGUGGGGUAAUGGCCUACCAAGCCGACGAUCCAUAGCUGGUUUGAGAGGAUGAUCAGCCACACUGGGACUGAGACACGGCCCAGACUCCUACGGGAGGCAGCAGUGGGGAAUCUUAGACAAUGGGGGCAACCCUGAUCUAGCCAUGCCGCGUGAGUGAUGAAGGCCUUAGGGUUGUAAAGCUCUUUCAGCUGGGAAGAUAAUGACGGUACCAGCAGAAGAAGCCCCGGCUAACUCCGUG